AAUAACUGUAUUUUCCUUUCCCAUUUAAAGCACUUUUCAUGGAGGAAAGUGAUCAAACUGACAACAAGUAGAAAGAGCCAAAGUGGAAGUUCUGUGACCAUAGAUCUAGAAAUAAGGUAGGUGUCACUCCAGAAUCUGUCUGCCAGAAAAGAAGAGGAAGAAAACUCCCCAGCCAGGCUCCAGACUCAGCUGGGUGGCAAUGUGGAACAGUGGAUGCGACAACACUUGGAAGAAGCUGAAGGACUGCAAAGACCUCCUGAAAUUUUGACACCAAAAGAAAUUUGACUCCUGGCUUCAAAGGUUGCAAAACAAGAUGGUAUGCUGUGACACAGCAUGGGAGAAAAUAAUGCAUCAGCAGUGAGAAGUAAAAUGGCUCUGCAACCUGCAAUGUCUGUAAAGAGAGUGAACAUUCAGGAAGAAUGUAUUGCACUGAACUUCUCCAAUUGCUUCAGGACUUCUUCAAGAGGAUUUUUUAAUUAUCAUUAUUAUUAUUACCUUCUAUGCCAUUUCUUUUCAUAUUCAUUAGUAGAGGAGCUUCCAAUAUUACUGUAUGAAGCAUGUCAGAAUAGAUUCCCUAUAGCAAAACUACAGACAUCAGAGAUAAGAGUCCAAUAUAAUCAGUGAUCUCUGCUGACGCAGACACCAGACUCAAUUAUUUCUUCUGAGAUAUUCUAGUGCAUUUUAUCCAGUUUACUUUAAAAAUGUUAUCCAAAAUGGACCAAAUUGUAAUCCAAAGGUCAAAUAUUAGCCUUUUAUAACUAAAGCACAUUCCCUGAGAAGUCAUCCUGAAGGUAUUUUCCUGAUUUUUUCCUCUGAACUUAUGCUGAAUAUAUAAUUCCCUUACUUUAAUUU
Long non-coding RNA from Apus apus (common swift), 852 nucleotides. RefSeq lists it as uncharacterized. The record is from RefSeq and is a predicted model, not a curated record. The transcript is spliced from 4 exons. Lineage: Eukaryota; Metazoa; Chordata; Aves; Apodiformes; Apodidae.